UGAUGGUACAUUUGCAGACCAGUCCUUGCAGCUCAGCUAAAUCCAACGAAUUGGCCUCCCCGUACUCAAAUCGUCUUCCUCCCCUUUGCCAGAUUCUGUACCAGUACAUCCUCUUGAAGCUAGGGUUAAGGUCCAGCGAGCUCAAAGAUUGAUCUCAGAGCUUAACGAAACGCGGCUGUCUCUCCCUCUUCUGUACCACUCAGGCGAAUUAGGGCUAUUAAAUUUCGACGGUCUCUCUCAACAAUCCGCCGCCGGCGCCGCCGGCGCCGUCAGCACUAUCCAACGAUAGCAGCUCAAGGAUGUAGGUCAUUAUGGAGUCUCAUUGCCUGGAGCCGGUAAAUCUGUUGAAGAGCCUGAGCUAUGACUGGGUAAUCUUCAGAGGAGUCAUCUUCAUAGGUCUCCAAGAUGGCAUUGAUGAAACUGAUAAUUUCACCUCUAGUACUAGUCUAGAUCGUGUAUGGCUGUCUCAGGCUUCAGUUUUUGUAGCACCAUGUAAUCAUCAAGAAUGUACAUUUGCUAGAAAAUCUUGUAUGCAGGUUUUCUGUAGUUUACAUGAGUGGUUGUUGUACAAUAUACAGAUGCUUGUGUUGUUCCGAUGUGAAAGAUGUGAUGUUCUUGCAUAGAAGCAUCUAAAUAAAAUGUAUUCAGAUAUCUUUUGGUUGUUACCGGUACUGAUUUAGCAGGGCAGCAAUAAAAGUUAAUUGAUAUGAUAAAAAA
Triticum aestivum (bread wheat) is the source of this 717-nucleotide long non-coding RNA. RefSeq lists it as uncharacterized. The transcript is spliced from 2 exons. NCBI's taxonomy places the organism in Eukaryota, Viridiplantae, Streptophyta, Magnoliopsida, Poales, Poaceae. The record is from RefSeq and is a predicted model, not a curated record.